CAGGAGGAAGGAAGAACUAGGGUUUACCCUUGUUCUCACCAAAUUCACCCAAUUGACUAGGAAAAAUCGAUGUUUAUCAACUGCAUGUAGUGAAAAUUCGAUCAUCUACUCAUACCCGGUGAAGUGGUGUGAAGGAAUAAAGUUCAAACUCUAAGAAACCGGAAGGAUCACAAGACCGAGGUAAAACUCCACUUUAGGCGAUUUGGAGAUAUGGAGCGAGCACAUGUUCAAGCCUUAUUAUACCAAGCGCUUCCGCUAGUUUAUAUGCAUACUUUUUGGGUCCAUGUCUUGUAGUUUUGUUUAAUCUUGUUAGAAGUCUACACUUGAAAACUUGUUGUCUUUGUUUGGGGUAGUUUAAAGUUAAAUGGAUCGUAGAUUGUCGUUAGUUUAAUAUCUUAUAAACAGGGGGCAUGCUCGUUUUACGAACGGGUCAUGCCCAAAUUUUCUAAGAAUUUCGUUAUGUAUUAAAUUUGGUAUUUUGAUGUCUUUAAA
This is a long non-coding RNA of Helianthus annuus (common sunflower), 492 nucleotides long. RefSeq lists it as uncharacterized. The transcript is spliced from 3 exons. The record is from RefSeq and is a predicted model, not a curated record. NCBI's taxonomy places the organism in Eukaryota, Viridiplantae, Streptophyta, Magnoliopsida, Asterales, Asteraceae.